CAUAGCAUUUACAUGACAAAAAAUAACUGAUAUAACUACUAUAGUAAUUUUCAGUAAUGCACUUAAACUGGGUUUUGCAAAUUUCAAGUUAUUGUUCAUUAAAGAAGUAGAAAUUUAGAUAAAUUAGUUUAAAAAGGAGAGAAUAAUUCUCUCCUGAUUAGAACAUAUAAAUUAAUUCAAUUCUUAUUGUUUUUGUGCAGAUACGGGUGAUACUAGAUUCUUCUUUCUAUUGUGAUUCCUGUCCAGUUGCUUAGAACUGAGAAGAAUGAGAGAGAUAGACACCUCUGGGGAAUUAUGUUGGUAGCCAAGCAAGGAAGACACUGAGAUAGCUGACAGCUGCCAGUGGGAUGGAAGCUAUAAGGACUUUACUAUCAAACCCUGACAAUCUGUUUACAAGACCAGGGACUAUUGGCAGGUGAAAGUAGGAUUUUCACUCAUUAUGUCUCUUAACAGAAAAGAAGAAUUAAGAAAUAAGAGUCAAGGAAACUCUUCCCAAAGAGGAAUAUACAUUGAUGUUAUAUGAAAAAGGAGUUCUUUAUUCAGGACACUCUGUAUUGAAGUAAAGACAAGUUCAUAGCAUCUAAAUUACAUUGCUCCAAAGUGAAAUGAAAAUGAAGAAAAUCUGCUGUGAAGAAUUAGAAUCAGUUAUAUAGACAGAAUGAGUAACAAGAAUUGAAACAGAAUGUAAAAUCAAAGGAAACAAGAAAGAAAUGAGAAAACCAUGCAAAAAGAAAGAUAAGGAGAUUAUUUUAGCCAGGGGUCUCUAACCCGUGGACCCCGGACCAGUACCAGUCUAUGGCCUGUUAGGAAAGUGGGCUCCACAGCAGGAGGUGAGUGGCAGUUGAGCGAGCAUUACCGCCUCCUGUCAGAUCAUCAGCAGCAUUAGAUUCUCAUGGGAGCAUGAACCCUAUUGUGAACUGUGCAUGUGAGGGAUCUAGGUUUUGCACUCCUUAUGAGAAUCUAAUACCUGAUGAUCUGUGGUGGGACAGUUUCAUCCUGAAACCAUCCCCCUUCCACCAUCCAUGGAAAAAUUGUCUUCCGUGAAACUGGUCCCUCAUGCCAAAAAGGUUGGGGAUGGCUGAUUUAAGCCAUAAAUGCCUUGGUCAGGAAUUUAGAGUUUUCCAGUGAUAGGAGUUGAAAACAAUGGCCAAAUGGCCAGAUGCAAAAAUUCUAAGGACAUAAAGAAGCUCAGAGAAAUUUCAAAUGAAAGAUACCUGGGUUGGUGUGAAUGUAGAGACACUAGAGAAAAUGAGAGAAAACCAUGCCUUUCUUUGCCCCACUGUAGGGCUAUUCUUUUAAGGCAUAAUCUUUGAAAGAGUUGAGGACAGUGUGAAAUCUUGGAAUGAUUUCUCUAUACCCUGAAAUUUUCAAAAUAUGCUCUCCAAUACUAUGAAACUCAAGGUGAGGUCCUAGAGAGGAGUUUGUAGUCAUUCUAUAUUUUGGGAAAGAUACAAUUUUGGAAGACAUCAGUUCAGAGAAGUUCCUGAACAAGUUAAAUUGAGCACACAUAUUGUGCCUUCAUCAUCUGUAUUUUGGUUUCUGCACUGGAAACAAAGUCCAUUUGGCCUUGUUCAUUUUGAGGAAUCAAACGCAUCUAGCAACUCUCUCACUUUUACUUCUGGCUAUAAUCUGCCGCCCCAUCUACAGGUGUGGGUGUGGAAAGGGAGGAGUGAAGAGUGUGUUGGAAAACACUAGUGAUGUGAUGAAGGGGUCAAAGUUUUAAGUGGUAUAUAGGCACUGACCAGUCAAAAUCGGAUGGUGCCCAAAUUAACUGGAAGAACUCUACUAGUACUUAUCAGCAGAAAAUCACCUCUGAACUUGUCAGCAAGACCACCGAAUUGGAAGCUGGCUUACUGAGAAGCUAUCAGGGAUUCAUCAACAUGGCCACAACAUUCUCAUAUAAUUUACUGUAACUUUUUCUUAUUAAAAUUCCAGAGUAAAAAUGUCUAGGUGUGCUUUGUCAUCAACCUGCU
This 1973-nucleotide long non-coding RNA is filed under the name Homo sapiens (human). RNAcentral describes it as "HSALNT0086094". Lineage: Eukaryota; Metazoa; Chordata; Mammalia; Primates; Hominidae. The record is from RNAcentral.